This 73-nucleotide transfer RNA is filed under the name Lapidilactobacillus concavus DSM 17758. RNAcentral describes it as "Lactobacillus concavus DSM 17758 tRNA". It matches the Rfam family "tRNA". From Rfam's summary of the family: Transfer RNA (tRNA) molecules are approximately 80 nucleotides in length. Their secondary structure includes four short double-helical elements and three loops (D, anti-codon, and T loops). Further hydrogen bonds mediate the characteristic L-shaped molecular structure. tRNAs have two regions of fundamental functional importance: the anti-codon, which is responsible for specific mRNA codon recognition, and the 3' end, to which the tRNAs corresponding amino acid is attached (by aminoacyl-tRNA synthetases). tRNAs cope with the degeneracy of the genetic code in two manners: having more than one tRNA (with a specific anti-codon) for a particular amino acid; and 'wobble' base-pairing, i.e. permitting non-standard base-pairing at the 3rd anti-codon position. RNAcentral also lists the same sequence under 1 other name. Lineage: Bacteria; Bacillati; Bacillota; Bacilli; Lactobacillales; Lactobacillaceae. The record is from Rfam by way of RNAcentral.
GCCGGUUUAGCUCAGUCGGUAGAGCGCCGCCCUCGUAAAGCGGAGGUCGCUGGUUCGAUUCCAGUAGCCGGCA